CGGCCAUAUCAUGUUGAAACAACCAAUUCUCGUCCUAUCAUCGCAGUUAAGCAAUGUUGAGCCUAGUUAAUACUUUGAUGGGUGACCGCUUGGUAAUACCAGGUGUUGUAG
Molecule: non-coding RNA, 111 nt
Organism: Acanthosepion pharaonis
Lineage: Eukaryota; Metazoa; Mollusca; Cephalopoda; Sepiida; Sepiidae
Source: the annotation of a GenBank genome assembly